Molecule: long non-coding RNA, 926 nt
Organism: Olea europaea var. sylvestris
Lineage: Eukaryota; Viridiplantae; Streptophyta; Magnoliopsida; Lamiales; Oleaceae
Exons: 2
Source: RefSeq, a predicted model, not a curated record
GGUCGUCCCGAGUGGCUGGACAAAAUGCAAACGUGGCAACAAACGGCGUUCGUACUCCUUCCAUGUACAAGUCGUUUUUCUUUUAAAACACGAUUCAUUCCCAAAUAAAGCAAAACCCAGCAUUCCAACACGAUUCAGUCACAUUUCGUUCUCCCCCAAAAUCAAAUUCUCUCGAACCCUAGAUCACGUUGGGAAGAAAUUAUAAUCCGGGAUUCACCGUCCCCAACAUCACAACAGAAAGUCCUGUUCGAAUCCACCCCAAACUUCACAAUCAAAAUCCAGUUACCAAAACCCAGAACAUACGAAGAAAGUCACACGAACCCAAUCAAGUUUCGCGCAAGUGAUAUGGUAGGGAAGAACAGAGGCGUUUCUCAUAGUUGUAGGAAGUUUGGGCAUUUUUUGUCGAAUUGUCCAACAAAAUAAUGUUGCCUAAAAUGUAGCUAGGGCAUCGAGAAUGUAUGGGGGUGGAGAGAAGUACGUCAAACAUAGGCCGAUUGUUCCUUUUCUGUACUUUUGAUUGUGGUAAUCUUAAUUGGCAAGAUGAAGAUGCGUCUAGUAGGGAAAAGGCUAUAGACCUGAUUGAAAAUUUGUUGAGUAUGUUGAAGUCGUGUGCUCAAAUCUAUGAAAAAUUAGAGAUAGAGAUAUCUUUCAACGUCAUUGUUCAUAUGGAAAAAAGAGUUAUAGAGGACAACCGAAAAGGAAAGAGAAUCGUUCCUUGAAUUAUUUCAAACAAUGAAAACGUGUCAAGACUCGUUGUUGGAGUUGUCAAGAUCCAUGUUUAUGUAAUAUUCAUUAAACUUGUUGUAUUUUAUAUCUUGUGGAGGUCAUGUAAUUAAUAUAGUUCAUGUAGCUUAUGUAGUAUUUUGUUAGUAUGUUGUGAGAACUUUUGCGGUCUAUUAAUUUAAGUCUGAAUUCCCUUUGAAUUA